This 167-nucleotide unclassified non-coding RNA is filed under the name uncultured Humicola. RNAcentral describes it as "sequence contains ITS1". The record is from RNAcentral. Lineage: Eukaryota; Fungi; Ascomycota.
CAGAGUUGCAAAACUCCCUAAACCAUUGUGAACGUUACCUAAACCGUUGCUUCGGCGGGCGGCCCGGGUCCUUCCCGGCGCCCAUCGGCCCUCGCGGGCGCCCGCCGGAGGUAAACCAAACUAUUGCAUUGUAUGGCCUCUCUGAGUCUUCUGUACUGAAUAAGUCA